GGGUCUUCAUUCACAGACACUACACACAUGUAAUACACAGACAUGCAUAAGGACAAAACACCCAGACACCACACACACACACACACACACACACACACACACACACAAACACAAAAAUUUUAAAGAAAGGAACAUCUUUAUCCUGACUUUUAGAGCUUUAAUCACAAUAUACUAUUAACUAAUUCAUAGAAUUAAAAUAUAAUAACUAAAAUCAUCAAAGACUCUCUAAAUCAAAGCCUGUAUUCAAAGAAACCAAGAAUCAGAUAUUUAAAGUUGUAUAAGAGCUACCCAUCAAAAUGGCUCAGCGGGUAAGGGUACUUGACCUCUCUUCUAGCACGACUGGGUAAGGCCAUGGCUCCUGAGGAUGACAUCAGAGACUCUCAUAGGUGCAGUGACUGCUUUUCUUUGGAAGUACUAAAGCAUGUUGACAUACAGAACACACUGAUUACUUCUUAUGUGAUAGUACCUUCUAAGCAGCAGUGCUAUAGUUCCUCUGUCCUUGUUCGGUGCUCUCAGGGACACCUAUGGGGAAGGAUACAUUAUAUCCUUGCAAAAAUAGGGUAAUAUUGUUAAGCCGUGGAAAAUAUAAUUCAUUUCAUCAGUAAACAUUAUUUUUAAGAUUAACACUACUCUAAAAACACAUUGUUUGGUCUUCACUGAAAAGAGUUCUCAUUGAAGUCUGCUUCUAAUUUUUGCAUUGCCUCCUAUUUUAUUUUUUUCUGUAAAUACAAUUAUGUAUAAGGAAUAUAUCAAUGGUGUACUUUAAAUUAAAAUAUAUUGCCUCACAAGUAUUUUUGACUUAUGGAAAAAUCUAAUAAUAUGUGUAUAAGACACAUACUAUGUACAUAUUAUGUAUACAUAUAUAUACAUAUAUACAUACACACACACAUAUAUAUAUGUGUGUAUGUGUGUGUGUGUGUGUGUGUGUGUGUAUAUAUAUGAGAGAAAGAAUUAAACUGUGGUCUGUAAUAACGGUGAAGACAAUUUAAUCAUCAAAUCAAUACUAGCUUAGUAAUGACUUCUCCAUUUGACCCUUUCUUUUCUCUACACAUAGAAAACGAAUACGGGAAUUAAAAUUCAAAAUAACUCCUUUAUUUUCUUUUGAGGUGUUUCUCAGUGAUCUUCAAUUUUGUCGAAUUACUUAAAGUUAACAUUAUCCAUGAAUUAGAAAGUGAUCUGUCUUAUGAUACCUAACUUUAGAGAAGUUGGAGACAAUGUGUGGUGGAAACCAUGUUGCCCAGUCUCAGAGGUUGCUGAUCUAUAAACAAAGAUUCAGUUACAAUGGCUCUAGAAUAUGUUGAGUGUCAUGAAUCUCCCUGAUUACUCUUGACUAUUGUAUAAUGUGUGUAAGUUAUAAGGAAGUGCAGUGUUGCCUCUGAACAGUUAAAUUUUAACACAGGUGUUUUCAAUGCCCUGCAAAUAGUCUCUUACAAUUUCUCACUGUGAACCCAUCAUGACCGAUAAAGAUUUACCUACAAUGAUGUUGCUUAAGAUAAAUUACUUUGUUCAAGUUCAAAUGACAGCCAUUCCCAAUAGGUGUUGAUGGAUGCAAUACUAAGGACCAAUUGGCAAAUAUUUAUAAGAAGGUUUAAGAAAUGUCACUGAAAAUGUUCUAUUCACUUCUUGAGUUAAUGACAACAUCUUGAGCAUGCAUGGAAAAUUGAACUAGGCAGUAAUGUGCGAUUUAGGUAAGUGGAGAAUCCUAUUACAAAGCUAACAGCUGUGCAGGAAAGGCAGAUUUGGACACUACUGUCUGUACAAAAAUCCACAUUUUUCACUUCACUGGGAAUAAGAGAUGGCUCCUUCUGGAAGCAAACAUGAAUGACCAUGUCCCAGAAACACACAUUUAGGUUACCUCAAAUUCCCUCUUCCAACAUGGAUUCAAUUUCAUGAACUUUUUAUAAUGACAAAAGGAAGAAAGUCAUAAAUCAAGGUGCUUUCAAAUUUUUUGAUAGAAAUGGUAAAUGCAGGUUUUACACACAGCACAGAAAUAUCAUCUACAGCCCUCAAAUGCUGUCUCAGUCUUUUGGUUGUUGGAUAAGUAGGAUUUUAUUAAGCAAAUGCAAUCAACAGUUUUCACUUGUUAUCAGAUGAUUACGUCAAUCUUCUUGGAGUGAUGGGGGGAAAAGAAGGAUUCUUUAGUGGACUGAAGAUAGGCCAAGAUAAAUAGUAAUUAGGCUCUGGAUCUGAAGCAACAAUUUCUUUCCCAUUCUGAAGUUUUAGUCACUUAACUGGUCUUUGUAGACACUCCACCUCUUCAGACAUUCUUGUUCACAUUACUUCUUGUAAUGUAUCAAUUAUACACUAUACAUCGAUUAUGUUUCCAGAGGAUCAGGGAUGAGUGUGUGUAUUAUAGUGGAAUUUUUAAAAAUGAUAAUAGGUGAAUAAAUUAUCAAUGUAUCUGUGUCUUUGCAUGCUUUUAUUGCAUGUAAUCAUUGGGAGUGCUCUUACUGUGAAAGAAAGGUUUUGAGAAUAAUAUAUAAAAUGUGACCAUGUAACAAUGAUUUCCUCAUGAUUAUGAACUAGGUUCCUCCAUCCAGUGGAAUUCACAGGUCAUUCAAAAGCCUCAGUUAGGGUUCAUGGAUAAAAAUAGAUAUGAAUCAGUCUUCUCAGAAUACUUAUUAUCAUGUACAGUGAUUUUAUGAAAAUACCAGGCAAAAUUAAAUUAUCAGUUUUUUUUUUUAAUGAAGAGGUGUAUUCUUCCAUUUUAAGAGGCAUUAGAGUUUGAAAAUACACAUUUUUCUGUUGACGUUCUACUUAUGGUGAGUAUUGUUUAAGCAUGAAAUAUUCUCAUGAAUGUAAUUAUUUCAUUAUAUCUUGAAUGUCUUUGUCAUUAGGCUUACAUAGCUUUGCAUUGCUUAUGUAUUGAAAAAUUAUACAUUUUUGUUUUAAAUUGAAAAUCAGUCUGGCCUGGGAUACCAUAGGAAGAAAUUCAGAAAAUGAAAUAAAUUCUCUUCUAAAUGGUGAAAUAAUUUAUCUGUAUGACUUUAAGUAGCAUGGAAAAAUCACACAGACUUUUUUCCAUUUGUGUUUUAAUGGUAAGUAUUAAGCAGAUAAUUAAUUACUAGGUAUUUUUAAUAUAUAUAUAUAUAUUAAUUACUAGGUAUUUUUAAUUAAGUUAUAUAUAUUCUUAAAUGUCUGUCAGGCCAAUGGAAAUAAUCAUUUUUAGAUGUUGAACAGUCGGAGGGUGAGCCCAGAAGAGGACAAAGUCUGAACUGUU
RNAcentral lists this long non-coding RNA (3220 nucleotides) under Mus musculus (house mouse). RNAcentral describes it as "long non-coding RNA chr6:61958637-61961857". The record is from RNAcentral. Lineage: Eukaryota; Metazoa; Chordata; Mammalia; Rodentia; Muridae.